RNAcentral lists this unclassified non-coding RNA (263 nucleotides) under Hevea brasiliensis (rubber tree). The record is from RNAcentral. Lineage: Eukaryota; Viridiplantae; Streptophyta; Magnoliopsida; Malpighiales; Euphorbiaceae.
UAAGGACAAAAGUUGACUUAAAAUUAAUUAUUCAAUUUUUUUAUUUGUGGUUGUUAUUUGAUGAAAAUUAAAUAAAAGUUAAUCUAAUAAUUUCCUAUCACACAAUUUAAAAUCAUAUGGGGAUUUUCUGUUUUUAUUUUUGCUCAAAUAAUUUCCUAAAAAUAUAUUUUUUUUCUUGCUUCACUUUGCUUUCUCUCCAUUAUUUCAUUCAAAUUAAAAAAUUAUUUUAUUUACAUAAGAAUCUCAACUCAACUAAACCUUUA